UACGAGGGGGGCAAGUGUUGUUCGGAAUCACUGGGCGUAAAGGGCGCGUAGGUGGCUUUGUAAGUCAGUGGUGAAAUAUUGCGGCUCAACCGCAAAACUGCCAUUGAUACUGCUUAGCUUGAAUCACGUCGAGGUGGAUGGAAUAAUACAUGUAGCGGUGAAAUGCUUAGAUAUGUAUUAGAACACCGAUUGCGAAGGCAGUUCACUAGGCGUGUAUUGACACUGAGGCUCGAAAGCGUGGGGAUCAAACAGG
RNAcentral lists this ribosomal RNA (253 nucleotides) under uncultured bacterium. RNAcentral's name for it is "partial 16S ribosomal RNA". It matches the Rfam family "Bacterial small subunit ribosomal RNA", at positions 524 to 776 of the family's 1533-position model. The record is from RNAcentral.